Molecule: non-coding RNA, 138 nt
Organism: Ornithorhynchus anatinus (platypus)
Lineage: Eukaryota; Metazoa; Chordata; Mammalia; Monotremata; Ornithorhynchidae
Source: Rfam
CCCCUCUCAGGAUCGCACCUGGAGAGUUUCCAGUACUCUACCAGUCUCAGCUACGGGAGGGAGAAUCAAGCAGAAGCAUACCCAUUCCAUUCCUAGCUUGGGCAAUGGCCAGCGAGUGGAAGGCAAUCUGCUACAAGU